UGACGUUAAUCAUAAUUCUGCUCACACUAAUUUAAAUAAUUCUACAUGUCUAGACCAUUUUAUAAAUCAAACUAAUUAUUAGCUAAUAAUCCUCCAUUUAAGUUUAUCAAGCUUAAAUUAAAAUACUAUUGAGUCCAAUCAAAUAAAUUAAUGGCCCAACUUAACAAAUUAAUUCCAUCAUCUUAUAUAUUCCCAGGCCCAACACAAUUUAUUAUUAUUAAGUCCAUUGAGAUUAAUAGGCCCAAGUACCAGCUUAAACCCAAUCACUAUAUUCAAACUAAAAUAAAUCUAGAAUUUUCUUUAAUUAAAAGGGAAAACACUUUCUCUCUCUCAUUUUUCUUUUCUUCUUCACACGCUUUCUCUCUCCUUUCAUUCCCUCUCUCUGCGUCUCUCACACUCUCACAGCCGGCGGACGUCGCCGGUUCUCGUCGCCUGCGGCGCGGCGAAGCCGACACCCCUUCUUCCCCCUCCUUCCUUUCGUUCCCUACCUCUUCUCCUGAAUCUAAAAUCCCCAAGUUGAAAUAGAUCUAGGGAUUUCUAUUUUCAAUUCACGUUCUCCGGUGAGUUCCGCCACUGCCGCCGCCGUCUCCGUCGCACCACCGCCACUUCCGACUCAGAGAUAGGUGCUCUCCAAUAAACAUUGCCGGCUGGAGGCGUUAUCAAUCCGACGAGGCUGCCUUAGUUCUCACUGUUGCUGUUCGAAUUUCAUCUAUUCUUCUUUUUGUAUUUAUUCAGUUAUUAACUCCUUGUAACGCUGGAAUUUCUUGUAAAAAAAAUACUCUAGAUGCUAACGAGAUUGUAUUAUUGCUUCGUAUAUGAUUUAAGGGUAGGUGUAACUAUUAUUUA
This is a long non-coding RNA of Salvia miltiorrhiza (redroot sage), 846 nucleotides long. RefSeq lists it as uncharacterized. The record is from RefSeq and is a predicted model, not a curated record. The transcript is spliced from 2 exons. Lineage: Eukaryota; Viridiplantae; Streptophyta; Magnoliopsida; Lamiales; Lamiaceae.